This 1241-nucleotide ribosomal RNA is filed under the name metagenome. RNAcentral's name for it is "bacterial LSU rRNA". It matches the Rfam family "Bacterial large subunit ribosomal RNA", at positions 1564 to 2815 of the family's 2925-position model. The record is from RNAcentral.
UGAGUACGAGAUGCUACGGCAUCGAAGCAGUCUAUGUCAUACUUCCAAGAAAAGCUUGCACUGUCAGAAACAGAUAAUGCCUGUACCAUAACCGACACAGGUGGGUAGGUAGAGUAUACUAAGGGGCGCGAGAUAACUCUCUCUAAGGAACUCGGCAAAAUGACUCCGUAACUUCGGGAGAAGGAGUGCCUUAUUUUUAAGGUUGCAAUAACAAGAUCCAAGCAACUGUUUACCAAAAACACAGGUCUCCGCUAAGUCGUAAGACGAUGUAUGGGGGCUGACGCCUGCCCAGUGCCAGAAGGUUAAAGAAGUCGGUUAGCAUUCGCGAAGCUGGUAACUGAAGCCCUGGUGAACGGCGGCCGUAACAAUAACGGUCCUAAGGUAGCGAAAUUCCUUGUCGGGUAAGUUCCGACCCGCACGAAAGGCGUAAUGAUUUGGAUACUGUCUCGGAGAGGGGCUCGGUGAAAUAGACUUGUCUGUGAAGAUGCGGACUACCUGCACCUGGACAGAAAGACCCUAUGAAGCUUUACUGUAACUUGAAAUUGAAAUUGGACUUUAUUUGCGCAGUAUAGGUGGGAGGCGUUGAAAAUAUUCUUGCGGGAAUAUUGGAGCCAUCAGUGAGAUACCACUCUUGUAAUGUUAGAUUUCUAACUUUAUAUCAUUAUCUGGUUAAAGAACAGUUUCAGGCGGGCAGUUUGACUGGGGCGGUCGCCUCCCAAAUGGUAACGGAGGCGCACAAAGGUUUCCUCUGAACGGGUAGAAAUCGUAUCUAGAGUGUAAAGGCAUAAGGAAGCUUGACUGUGAGACCUACAAGUCGAGCAGGGACGAAAGUCGGUCUUAGUGAUCUGACGGUGCUGAGUGGAAAGGCCGUCACUCAACGGAUAAAAGUUACUCUAGGAUAACAGGCUGAUCUCCCCCAAGAGUUCACAUCGACGGGGAGGUUUGGCACCUCGAUGUCGGCUCAUCGCAUCCUGGGGCGGUAGUACGUCCCAAGGGUUGGGCUGUUCGCCCAUGAAAGCGGUACGCGAGCUGGGUUCAGAACGUCGUGAGACAGUUCGGUCCAUAUCCGGUGUAGGCGUUAGAAUAUUGAGAGGAGCCUUCUUUAGUACGAGAGGACCGAGAAGGACAUACCUCUGGUGUACCAGUUAUCGUGCCAACGGUAAACGCUGGGUAGCUAUGUAUGGAGUGGAUAACCGCUGAAAGCAUCUAAGUGGGAAGCCCACCUCAAGAUAAGUAUUCCC